AAGGAGGGGGAUUGAGGGAUGAAUGGAGGAAGGGAGAAAAGGGAGAGGGAGGUGUUUAAGACAGUGGCACCUCCAGUUCUUCUGCUUCCUCUGGCAAAAGAAUCAAGAUUUCCUUGAUUUACCAUGCAGCCAGGUCUGCUGCAGAGACCCCACCUUUCACCACAUGGUAGAAAUGGAGGAAUGUUAAUGUCUGGUUUCUAUUCUGAUAGAAUUAGGAUUCCGUUUCUGUAGUGUAAGUCAUCGAGUAAGCAGAAUCCAAGGCACCCUGAAAAAAAAAAGCUUCAGGACAAACACAUAAUAACAUAUGGUCUUGCAGAGCUGUAAUUCUGGUGUUCAGGAAGCUGAGGCAGGAGGAUCACUGUGAAUUCAAGGUCUCCCCCAGCUUCAUGGACGCUGGAAGGUAAGUACCCAUCAAAAAACUAAUUUCCCACGCUGGGAGAUUUUAUCAACCACUCUAGUGCCUCAGCUCUCUUUGCCUCCACAACUCCAGAGCUGGCUUUCUUUGUGUGCUUGGCACAGCAGGGGGCAUCUGUGUGCACUGCAGAUGUUCUUACCCAUGCUCCUUUUUGGCAGGCGUCUCUGUGAUGACUAAUAUUGGCGCUGUCGUGAAGCCCAGUCAGCUCUUGCUUGCAAGCUUUUGCCAGCAGCCUCACCUUCAAGAUUCGAAAACCCACACAGUUUACAAUCCCAUCCAAGGCACCUCUGGGAAGACCUUAAAGUUUCAUUUGUUAGAAGGUGGGAAAGGGCUGGCAAGAUGGCUCAGUGAGUAAAGGUGCUUGCUGCCAAACCUGAUGACUUGAGUUCAAUUCCCUGGGUCCGCAGGAUGAAUGGAGAGAACUAACUCUUGCAAGUUGGUUCUUCUGAUUCUAAUGAGUGCUGUUAUGAGGUCAGCUGUCAGUGUUGAUGUGUCUCCCUCAACAAUCUGCACUAUGGCUUUACUCCCAUCAAGCUACCUCACUUCUUUUGUGAGUCUGUGUGAGCCCUGUUUUCAAUUCUUCGUAUAAGAAGCCUAGUAACCAGAACUACCUGACCCCAGACCCUAACCAACAAUAACAGUUCAGUGUCCUAGAAAAAUGAGGAUAGCUAAUUACUGGAAUAGCCAAGAUUCCCAAGAUUCCUGAAUGCUGUGCUGUCUAUAUUAUAUUGACAGAGGAAGAUUAUAAACUAGAAAUGAAGGCUUUGUGCUGGCACCCAAUGACUAUAACCCUUAAUGUCACAAUCUCACGUGAACCUGGGUUGGAACCCCAAACAAGACCCUGACUCAGUUGUCUUUGUAUUGUGAUGACCAAACAUGACUUGGUGAGGGAAGUUUAUUUGACUUAUACAUCCAGAUCAGAGUCUCUCAUAAAAGGAAGUUGGGGCAGGAACCUGGAUACAAGAACUGAUGCAGAGGUCACAGAGGAACCCUACCCAUUGGCUCACCCAGCCUGCUUUCUGAUACCACCCAGGACCACCUUCCCAGGAGUGACACUACUCUGCAGAGGGCUGGGCGAUCCCUCAUCAAUGAUUAAUGGAGAAAAUGCCACACAGACUUCCCAGCAGGCAAUCCAAUGCAGGCACUUUCUCAACUUUCCCUCUUCACAGAUGAUCCAAGCUUGUAUCCAGUUGACAACAAAACCCCACAAAAAUGAAACAAAAAACAAACAAACAAACAAACAAACAAAAAACAAAACAAAACAAAAAACUAACUGGCCCAACCCUGGAUUGCAAAACAGGGCCCUGAGAGAAAUUACAGAAGGCUUUUCAAUCCCUUUCUCAAACCCUGCUGUGUGAACCAUGUUGGAGGAGCUUGUUCUGAGAUGCUCCAUGCAAAUGAGAUGGGAAAGAGAAAGGACAGAACUACCUGACUCACAGGCACCAUCUGGAUGUCCUGCCUCAGCUUGCCCACAAAAGCAAUGGCAGUGGGCGAGAAGAAACCAAAGAGAACCUGUACUGUCAGGGUGACUUGGGGUGGAGCAGACGUUGCACACUGGAGCGAAUGCCACCGAGUCAGUGACGCAGAGUCUCCAGUUAUCGGUAAGCACCGCUGACAGAAGAGCUUGCAGAUACAGGCUGUGGACGCAAGCCACAGGUGAGGAGACGCUGAGAGGUUUCCUGUCAGGCUCUAGGAAGGAUCCAGGCAAACCUGGCACCACGCCUGUCAUUUAGCCUUGUUGUCCCCAAGCCAUCCAAGGGCAGGUAGCAUUCUAUCCAAGUCUCUAGGAAUAAGGGGGAUUGGGGCUGUAACUUUAAUUUCAAAUCCUAUUUUUAACAAUGGUCCUUAAAACGCUUUAACCUCCCUUGUAGCCCACCACCCACCAGAGGUACUGGUAAAGCAAGGAAGUGAACCUGUUUACAAAGUUUCCUUAGAGCAGCUCUCACCUGUGAUGUCUGGAAGUGGGGCAGUUCAGCUCACAGGUCAGCAGAGGCAACUCGAUCCACGCACAAAUGCUUCAUGGGUACAUCAGCUGUCUAGUUCAGUAGAGUCGGGAUGGCAUUCAGCAGGGGUGGCACUACGUAACGGAGACAGCCAGGCCUCAACCUUGGCAGCAGGAGGGACCAGGAGGAAUGCCAGGAGAAGUUCUAGGCUGUGUCUCUCUCAGUAAAACGAAGCUCACUGAAGACAAGAGGUCAGCAAGCAUUAUACAGUGAGCUUUCUAAGCAAGCCUAGCUGAGCCUCCACCACAGUCCCUGGGGUCCUAUUGAGACCCCCCCCAAACAUCACAAGUCCUCCAUGGGUCUUGCCUUAGCAUGUAUCUUGUCUUAGCACGUGCAUCCGUCUCAGCUGAUAUCACUCUGCCCAUCGAGGAAGCAGCAGGAAACUACAGCACACCACCAGAAGUUUUUUGGUCCAUUUCUCUCAAAUGAAGCCAGCUCAACCACACAACAUAAGGUUCUGAUGUGUCUUCCUUACUUGUAAGAAGAGCUGGUUGCUGGAUCAGAGUUCCCCUUCUCCUCUUUCCUUUCGUUUUGAAAUCACUCAGUUUCCCAGAGUCUGCCAUGUCAAAUCCAUGACUUGUAGGUCAGACAAAUGCUUGCUUUGUUCAGACACAUCCAGUCACCUUCGCCAUCCUAUGUCACCCUGUUCUACACAGGAGAUGAUUGCCAACUGCUGACUGGUUUGGAUUUGUUGAAUUUGAGUCGUGUCACCGAAAUAAGGCCAUCAGCCUCCAGUGGCCAAACUGGGCUGAGACACAGAUCAAUGCCUCAGUCAACCCACAUCAGAGAGGCUUCUCCUUGCACAAGAUUGGAAUUAACACAGAGAUUCACAACUGGAUAAUGGGUAAAGAGUAAGAGACUUAGGAGCACUCAACCCUAAAUGAGGGUCCCCACUCUCCAAAAUGCUCAAGAAUCUAUGCAGAAGGCAGAAGAGGAGGUGGAAACGCUGUAAGAGACAGAGAGGUGGUGGAUAACUCCAAGGAACCAGUGCCUUGAAUUGAUACACAUAUGAUCAGAGAUUUCAGCAGCAUACCCAAGACCUGCCCAGGUUCAACCAUAUGAUCAUGUUCCCAACCUACAUUUUAGAAGUAUCGAAAGUCCAUUUCCUUCCAGUAUGCUAAUGUCCCUCACAGGACAGACAGGCAAGUGCAUUGCCACAUUAGUAGGGGAUGUAGCUUAGACUUGACACUUUCUUUGAUGUGGAAUUUGCAUGCUCAUGGUGAGGAUAUGUGGUGAUUUGAAUAGGAGUGGCACUAUUUAGAGGCAUGAUCUUGUUGGAGUAGGUUUAGGCUUG
Molecule: small RNA, 3712 nt
Filed under: Rattus norvegicus (Norway rat)
Lineage: Eukaryota; Metazoa; Chordata; Mammalia; Rodentia; Muridae
Description: uncharacterized LOC102552777
Source: RNAcentral